GGAAUUGGCGGUUAACGACAUGCUCACUUUACUUGGACGUUUUCUAAUCGUCUUCUUUGGAAUAUGCUUUCAAGGUCUGUGAAGCCAAACUUGAUGCUGGGGAUUUAUUUUUGUCAGUGGAGUCAAAUGGUUGAAGCAGAAUUUGCCCGUCUUACAUCUGUUGACCUGAAAGGGUUCCUUUUUGCUGUGCUUGACCAUUAUGGAGAGGUUCGUGGAGCUGUACAAAAUCAAGAGCGGCAUAGAAGGGCUAACUAGGCUCAUAAGAUGCUUCGGAGAUGAUAGCCCUACACAAAGGAAGAGGACAGAGGACCUCAUUUUCUAAAGGAAGAGCCCUCACACACUUUCAAGACUGUGAAGCCGACAGGUAUUGAAGACACGUUUUCUAAGAGGAUGAAAGUUGGCAUUGCGAUGGUGAAAGAAGAAGACAUCAUCGAUGUGUUGGUUGUCCCUGAGGCGGCAGUAAUCCUGUCUAAUCUGAGGGAUGUCUCAAGUGCCAUUUCCAUGCUGAUGGGCCUUCUCUUUUGCCCUCAACAUAGACUAUCCAAAGGAACUUAAGGACAUCUUUGAAGUCAUUCAGAACAUCCUAAUGAACAUUGGUGGAAG
This is a long non-coding RNA of Oreochromis aureus, 603 nucleotides long. The record is from Ensembl. Lineage: Eukaryota; Metazoa; Chordata; Actinopteri; Cichliformes; Cichlidae.